CCUACGGGUGGCAGCAGUGAGGAAUAUUGGUCAAUGGACGAGAGUCUGAACCAGCCAAGUAGCGUGAAGGAUGACUGCCCUAUGGGUUGUAAACUUCUUUUAUAUGGGAAUAAAAUGUUCCACGUGUGGGAUUUUGUAUGUACCAUAUGAAUAAGGAUCGGCUAACUCCGUGCCAGCAGCCGCGGUAAUACGGAGGAUCCGAGCGUUAUCCGGAUUUAUUGGGUGUAAAGGGAGCGUAGGUGGAUUGUUAAGUCAGUUGUGAAAGUUUGCGGCUCAACCGUAAAAUUGCAGUUGAAACUGUCAGUCUUGAGUACAGUAGAGGUGGGCGGAAUUCGUGGUGUAGCGGUGAAAUGCUUAGAUAUCACGAAGAACUCCGAUUGCGAAGGCAGUUCACUGGACUGCAACUGACACUGAGGCUCGAAAGUGUGGGUAUCAAACAGGAUUAGAUACCCGGGUAGUC
Molecule: ribosomal RNA, 460 nt
Filed under: uncultured bacterium
Lineage: Bacteria
Description: partial 16S ribosomal RNA
Rfam family: Bacterial small subunit ribosomal RNA
Source: RNAcentral